Molecule: ribosomal RNA, 312 nt
Filed under: Gallotia galloti (Gallot's lizard)
Lineage: Eukaryota; Metazoa; Chordata; Lepidosauria; Squamata; Lacertidae
Description: partial 12S ribosomal RNA
Rfam family: Bacterial small subunit ribosomal RNA
Source: RNAcentral
CCGCCAGAGAACUACAAGUGAAAAACUUCAAACUCAAUGGACUUGGCGGUGUCCCACAUUCGACCUAGAGGAGUCUGUCCNAUANUCGAUACUCCCCGNUCUACCUCACCAGCACUAGCACCAGCUUCAGCCUAUAUACCGCCGUCGACAGCUUACCCCCUGAGGGUUUAACAGUAAGCACAAUAGUCCUACCACUAACACGUCAGGUCAAGGUGUAGCUAAUGUGCUGGCAGAGAUUGGCUACAUUUUUUAUUUUAAAAAACACGAAAUGCUAUAUGAAAAACAGCAUGAAGGCGAAUUUAGUAGUAAAAC